This 75-nucleotide transfer RNA is filed under the name Minisyncoccota bacterium. Its description in RNAcentral is "tRNA-Arg". It matches the Rfam family "tRNA". From Rfam's summary of the family: Transfer RNA (tRNA) molecules are approximately 80 nucleotides in length. Their secondary structure includes four short double-helical elements and three loops (D, anti-codon, and T loops). The record is from RNAcentral. Lineage: Bacteria; Bacillati; Minisyncoccota.
CUCCUUGUAGUUCAAUGGAUAGAACAAAUCCCUCCUAAGGAUUAGAUGUAGGUUCGACUCCUGCCAAGGAGACAA